Molecule: ribosomal RNA, 468 nt
Filed under: uncultured bacterium
Lineage: Bacteria
Description: partial 16S ribosomal RNA
Rfam family: Bacterial small subunit ribosomal RNA
Source: RNAcentral
GACGAACGCUGGCGGCGUGCUUAACACAUGCCAGUCGAACGGAAAAGCCCUGCUUUUGUGGGGUGCUCGAGUGGCGAACGGGUGAGUAACACGUGAGUAACCUGCCCUUGACUUUGGGAUAACUUCAGGAAACUGGGGCUAAUACCGGAUAGGAGCUCCUGCUGCAUGGUGGGGGUUGGAAAGUUUCGGCGGUUGGGGAUGGACUCGCGGCUUAUCAGCUUGUUGGUGGGGUAGUGGCUUACCAAGGCUUUGACGGGUAGCCGGCCUGAGAGGGUGACCGGCCACAUUGGGACUGAGAUACGGCCCAGACUCCUACGGGAGGCAGCAGUGGGGAAUAUUGCACAAUGGGCGGAAGCCUGAUGCAGCAACGCCGCGUGCGGGAUGACGGCCUUCGGGUUGUAAACCGCUUUCGCCUGUGACGAAGCGUGAGUGACGGUAAUGGGUAAAGAAGCACCGGCUAACUACGUG